AUUGAACGCUGGCGGCAGGCCUAACACAUGCAAGUCGAGCGGCAGCGGGAAAGUAGCUUGCUACUUUUGCCGGCGAGCGGCGGGCGGGUGGGUAAUGCCUGGGGAUCUGCCCAGUCGAGGGGGAUAACUACUGGAAACGGUAGCUAAUACCGCAUACGCCCUACGGGGGAAAGCAGGGGACCUUCGGGCCUUGCGCGAUUGGAUGAACCCAGGUGGGAUUAGCUAGUUGGUGAGGUAAUGGCUCACCAAGGCGACGAUCCCUAGCUGGUCUGAGAGGAUGAUCAGCCACACUGGAACUGAGACACGGUCCAGACUCCUACGGGAGGCAGCAGUGGGGAAUAUUGCACAAUGGGGGAAACCCUGAUGCAGCCAUGCCGCGUGUGUGAAGAAGGCCUUCGGGUUGUAAAGCACUUUCAGCGAGGAGGAAAGGUUGGUAGCUAAUAACUGCCAGCUGUGACGUUACUCGCAGAAGAAGCACCGGCUAACUCCGUGCCAGCCGCCGCUGUAA
RNAcentral lists this ribosomal RNA (508 nucleotides) under uncultured bacterium. RNAcentral describes it as "partial 16S ribosomal RNA". It matches the Rfam family "Bacterial small subunit ribosomal RNA", at positions 29 to 523 of the family's 1533-position model. The record is from RNAcentral.